Molecule: ribosomal RNA, 1511 nt
Filed under: metagenome
Description: bacterial LSU rRNA
Rfam family: Bacterial large subunit ribosomal RNA
Source: RNAcentral
AUAUUCCUGUACUUGGUGUUACUGCGAAGGGGGGACGGAGAAGGCUAUGUUGGCCGGGCGACGGUUGUCCCGGUUUAAGCGUGUAGGCUGGUUUUCCAGGCAAAUCCGGAAAAUCAAGGCUGAGGCGUGAUGACGAGGCACUACGGUGCUGAAGCAACAAAUGCCCUGCUUCCAGGAAAAGCCUCUAAGCAUCAGGUAACAUCAAAUCGUACCCCAAACCGACACAGGUGGUCAGGUAGAGAAUACCAAGGCGCUUGAGAGAACUCGGGUGAAGGAACUAGGCAAAAUGGUGCCGUAACUUCGGGAGAAGGCACGCUGAUAUGUAGGUGAAGCGACUUGCUCGUGGAGCUGAGAUCAGUCGAAGAUACCAGCUGGCUGCAACUGUUUAUUAAAAACACAGAACUGUGCAAACACGAAAGUGGACGUAUACGGUGUGACGCCUCCCCGGUGCCGGAAGGUUAAUUGAUGGGGUCAGCGCAAGCGAAGCUCUUGAUCGAAGCCCCGGUAAACGGCGGCCGUAACGAUAACGGUCCUAAGGUAGCGAAAUUCCUUGUCGGGUAAGUUUCGACCUGCACGAAUGGCGUAAUGAUGGCCAGGCUGUCUCCACCCGAGACUCAGUGAAAUUGAACUCGCUGUGAAGAUGCAGUGUACCCGCGGCAAGACGGAAAGACCCCGUGAACCUUUACUAUAGCUUGACACUGAACAUUGAGCCUUGAUGUGUAGGAUAGGUGGGAGGCUUUGAAGUGUGGACGCCAGUCUGCAUGGAGCCGACCUUGAAAUACCACCCUUUAAUGUUUGAUGUUCUAACGUGGACCCGUGAUCCGGGUUGCGGACAGUGUCUGGUGGGUAGUUUGACUGGGGCGGUCUCCUCCUAAAGAGUAACGGAGGAGCACGAAGGUUGGCUAAUCCUGGUCGGACAUCAGGAGGUUAGUGCAAUGGCAUAAGCCAGCUUGACUGCGAGCGUGACGGCGCGAGCAGGUGCGAAAGCAGGUCAUAGUGAUCCGGUGGUUCUGAAUGGAAGGGCCAUCGCUCAACGGAUAAAAGGUACUCCGGGGAUAACAGGCUGAUACCGCCCAAGAGUUCAUAUCGACGGCGGUGUUUGGCACCUCGAUGUCGGCUCAUCACAUCCUGGAGCUGAAGUAUGUCCCAAGGGUAUGGCUGUUCGCCAUUUAAAGUGGUACGCGAGCUGGGUUUAGAACGUCGUGAGACAGUUCGGUCCCUAUCUGCCGUGGGCGCUGGAGAACUGAGGGGGGCUGCUCCUAGUACGAGAGGACCGGAGUGGACGCAUCACUGGUGUUCGGGUUGUCAUGCCAAUGGCACUGCCCGGUAGCUAAAUGCGGAAGAGAUAAGUGCUGAAAGCAUCUAAGCACGAAACUUGCCCCGAGAUGAGUUCUCCCUGACUCCUUGAGAGUCCUGAAGGAACGUUGAAGACGACGACGUUGAUAGGCCGGGUGUGUAAGCGCAGCGAUGCGUUGAGCUAACCGGUACUAAUGAACCGUGAGGCUUAACCC